GCUGGUGCUUAAGGCGCGAUGGCACCACUCCGACCCAUCUCGAACUCGGUUGUGAAACGUUGCUGCGGCGAAGAUACUUUGGGGGUUGCCCCACGGGACAAUAGCUCAGUGCCAGCA
Molecule: ribosomal RNA, 117 nt
Filed under: Merismopedia sp. SIO2A8
Lineage: Bacteria; Bacillati; Cyanobacteriota; Cyanophyceae; Synechococcales; Merismopediaceae
Also listed under: 1 other name
Source: RNAcentral